GAUGAACGCUGGCGGCGUGCCUAAUACAUGCAAGUCGAGCGAACAGAUGAGGAGCUUGCUCCUCUGACGUUAGCGGCGGACAGGUGAGUAACACGUGGAUAACCUACCUAUAAGACUGGGAUAACUUCGGGAAACCGGAGCUAAUACCGGAUAAUAUAUUGAACCGCAUGGUUCAAUAGUGAAAGACGGUUUUGCUGUCACUUAUAGAUGGAUCCGCGCCGCAUUAGCUAGUUGGUAAGGUAACGGCUUACCAAGGCAACGAUGCGUAGCCGACCUGAGAGGGUGAUCGGCCACACUGGAACUGAGACACGGUCCAGACUCCUACGGGAGGCAGUAGUAGGGAAUCUUCCGCAAUGGGCGAAAGCCUGACGGAGCAACGCCGCGUGAGUGAUGAAGGUCUUCGGAUCGUAAAACUCUGUUAUUAGGGAAGAACAAAUGUGUAAGUAACUAUGCACGUCUUGACGGUACCUAAUCAGAAAGCCACGGCUAACUACGUG
This 497-nucleotide ribosomal RNA is filed under the name uncultured bacterium. RNAcentral's name for it is "partial 16S ribosomal RNA". It matches the Rfam family "Bacterial small subunit ribosomal RNA", at positions 28 to 507 of the family's 1533-position model. The record is from RNAcentral.